AACGAACGCUGGCGGCAUGCCUAACACAUGCAAGUCGAACGAGACCUUCGGGUCUAGUGGCGCACGGGUGCGUAACGCGUGGGGACCUGCCCUUGGGUUCGGAAUAACUCACCGAAAGGGGUGCUAAUACCGGAUAAUGUCUUCGGACCAAAGAGUUAUCGCCUUUGGAUGGGCCCGCGUUGGUUUAGCUGGUUGGUAGGGUAAAAGCCUACCAAGGCGACGAUGCAUAGCUGGUCGGAGAGGAUGAUCAGCCACACUGGGACUGAGACACGGCCCAGUCUCCUACGGGAGGCAGCAGUAGAGAAUAUUAUACGAUGGGCCAUAGCCUGAUCCAGCAAUGCCGCGUGUGUGAUGAAUGCCUUAGGGUUGUAAAGCUCUCUUACCCGGGAUGAUAAUGACAGUACCGGGUGAAUAAGCUCCGGCUAACUCCGUG
This 433-nucleotide ribosomal RNA is filed under the name uncultured bacterium. Its description in RNAcentral is "partial 16S ribosomal RNA". It matches the Rfam family "Bacterial small subunit ribosomal RNA", at positions 29 to 507 of the family's 1533-position model. The record is from RNAcentral.